RNAcentral lists this ribosomal RNA (866 nucleotides) under uncultured rumen archaeon. RNAcentral's name for it is "bacterial SSU rRNA". It matches the Rfam family "Archaeal small subunit ribosomal RNA", at positions 1 to 864 of the family's 1478-position model. The record is from RNAcentral.
CUCGUAUUCACUAGUGAUUUCUGGUUGAUCCUGGCAGAGGCUACUGCUAUUGGGAUUCGAUUAAGCCAUGCAAGUUGAAUGAAUUUAGAUUCAUGGCGUACGGCUCAGUAACACGUGGAUAACUUACCCUUAGGACUGGGAUAACUCUGGGAAACUGGGGAUAAUACCGGAUAUUAGGCUAUGUCUGCAAUGGUUUGCCUUUGAAAUGUUUUUUUUCGCCUAAGGAUAGAUCUGCGGCUGAUUAGGCCGUUGGUGGGGUAAUGGCCCACCAAGCCGAUGAUCGGUACGGGUUGUGAGAGCAAGGGCCCGGAGAUGGAACCUGAGACAAGGUUCCAGACCCUACGGGGUGCAGCAGGCGCGAAACCUCCGCAAUGUACGAAAGUGCGACGGGGGGAUCCCAAGUGUUAUGCUUAAAGGUAUGACUUUUCAUUAGUGUAAAAAGCUUUUAGAAUAAGAGCUGGGCAAGACCGGUGCCAGCCGCCGCGGUAACACCGGCAGCUCGAGUGGUAGCUGUUUUUAUUGGGCCUAAAGCGUUCGUAGCCGGUUUAAUAAGUCUUUGGUGAAAGCUUGUAGCUUAACUAUAAGAAUUGCUGGAGAUACUAUUAGACUUGAAGUCGGGAGAGGUUAGAGGUACUACCGGGGUAGGGGUGAAAUCCUAUAAUCCUGGGAGGACCACCUGUGGCGAAGGCGUCUAACUGGAACGAUCUUGACGGUGAGUAACGAAAGCCAGGGCGCGAACCGGAUAGAUACCCGGUUAGUCCUGGCCGUAACGAUGUGGACUUGGGGUUGGAUGCCUUGAGUUGUUCGGUGCCAAAGAAACUGUUAAUCACCCGCCGGGAAGACGGCCGCAGAUGAACUUAAAGAAU